Molecule: non-coding RNA, 403 nt
Organism: Rhinichthys klamathensis goyatoka
Lineage: Eukaryota; Metazoa; Chordata; Actinopteri; Cypriniformes; Leuciscidae
Source: the annotation of a RefSeq genome assembly
CACUUCAUCACUGACACACACAACAAUCUUCAUCAACAUGACCUUCAUCAUCAUCUUCAUCUGGACUCUCACAGCGUUUGCUCAAGAGUGUAGAGGACAGAUCACCGUCACUCAGAGUCCCUCAAUAACAGCAGAACAACCAGGAGGAACUGUGAAUAUCAAAUGUAAAACCAGCAGUGAUGUGUACGGUGGAGAUCGUUUAGCCUGGUACUUACAGAAGCCUGGAGAAGCUCCUAAACUCCUGAUUUAUUGGACAAACAACCUUGAGUCAGGAACUCCAUCUAGAUUCAGUGGCAGUGGAUCUAACAGUGAUUUCACUCUGACCAUCAGUGGAGUCCAGACUGAAGAUGCUGGACAUUAUUACUGUCAGAGUUAUCACAGUGGUAAUGUGUUCACACAGUGA